This is a non-coding RNA of Acanthosepion pharaonis, 97 nucleotides long. The record is from the annotation of a GenBank genome assembly. Lineage: Eukaryota; Metazoa; Mollusca; Cephalopoda; Sepiida; Sepiidae.
UUGAAACACCGUUUCCUGUAAGAUCACCGAAGUUAAGCAAUGUUGAGCUUGGUUAGUACCUGAAUGGGUGACCACUUGGGAAUAUGAGGUGUUGUAA